Molecule: long non-coding RNA, 1088 nt
Organism: Lolium perenne
Lineage: Eukaryota; Viridiplantae; Streptophyta; Magnoliopsida; Poales; Poaceae
Source: RefSeq, a predicted model, not a curated record
UUCGCCAACCCUUGCGAGUAUACAAUAGGAGGAACUGAAACUCUGUUAAUUUUUUCUCACCCAACAUUGUCUUGCUUGGGCGAUCCCCAUCUUUUCAUCUCUCUGAUGAGCAAUAGUUGAACUCCCACCCAACAUUGUCUUCCUUGGGCUUGGGCUCAUGCUGGAGCGAGAGCUCCUGUGCCUGUGGUGUCCAAUCAGCUCGGCCGGCCCGCCAAGCGAGCAAGCGUUGGCUCCUCCGCUUGCCGGGCCGGCGGUGGCUGUGCUGCUCUUUCUCGAUCUGGGUGGAGCGAGAUCAAACCAAUCAGCUCUGUCUGCCCGCCGACGAGCAGGCGUCGCCUCCUCCGCUCGCCGGGCCGACGUGGCUGUGCUGCUCUUUGGCGAUCUGGGUGGUCUGAGAUCACCCAAGUUGUCCAAUCAACUCCGUCGGCCCGCCGACGAGCAGGCGUUGCUUCCUCCGAUCGCCGGGCCGGCGGUAGCUGUGCUGCUGCUGCUGGGGAAGGGGAGCUGGGUCUGUUCGUUUGCGUCCGCGGUGCUCUCCGUCCUGUCCGCCUGUUCGCCGCUCAAGUGCGGUGAGGAGGUUGGACAUGGACGCUGAGAGGGCCGCGCACGCCGACGAGCUCCCCCCAGCUCCCAGACCCGCAUCAUCCAGCCAGUGCGUGCGGAAUUCAAGAGCAGCUCCAUGUCAUGACUGAAGAGGAAUGGUAACGGCUGGAGUGUGAGGAAGGUAUACCAGCAAAAUCAAGAGCUAAUGCAUCUGCUGCGCGGGCUGCCAGAGUCCAAUUAAGCAUCGAUGAGGGAUCCUUUGACGUGAUGGAGCAGAUUGAGGUUCAAAUACUUUGUGUACAGAAGUUGGAUGUCUUUGUCGGCACUAGGCAGCAGUUCAGAAAUUAACUGAAAAUCCAUAUAGCAUAUACGCUAGUAGUACCUGAUGUCUUUGUCCUGAAUUUCUACUGUCCAUAAAUCAAUUCUCAGGUCGAAGACUGAAGCUCUUGUCUUGCAAAAAUCCUUCCAAUAGGUGUUUUUUUUAUCCGCACGGUGUUCUGAGUGUAAAAUCAACUGCUAGUGUCUCUCCCGGGGAGUCUACCCAC